This 440-nucleotide ribosomal RNA is filed under the name uncultured bacterium. Its description in RNAcentral is "bacterial SSU rRNA". It matches the Rfam family "Bacterial small subunit ribosomal RNA", at positions 338 to 795 of the family's 1533-position model. The record is from RNAcentral.
CCUACGGGUGGCAGCAGUGGGGAAUAUUGGACAAUGGGCGCAAGCCUGAUCCAGCCAUGCCGCGUGAGUGAUGAAGGCCCUAGGGUUGUAAAGCUCUUUCAGUGGGGAAGAUAAUGACGGUACCCACAGAAGAAGCCCCGGCUAACUUCGUGCCAGCAGCCGCGGUAAUACGAAGGGGGCUAGCGUUGUUCGGAUUUACUGGGCGUAAAGCGCACGUAGGCGGAGCGUUAAGUCAGGGGUGAAAUCCCGCAGCUCAACUGCGGAACUGCCUUUGAUACUGGCGCUCUUGAGUCCGGAAGAGGUGAGUGGAACUCCGAGUGUAGAGGUGGAAUUCGUAGAUAUUCGGAAGAACACCAGUGGCGAAGGCGGCUCACUGGUCCGGUACUGACGCUGAGGUGCGAAAGCGUGGGGAGCAAACAGGAUUAGAUACCCGAGUAGUC